Molecule: ribosomal RNA, 925 nt
Filed under: Phytopythium cucurbitacearum (nom. inval.)
Lineage: Eukaryota; Oomycota; Peronosporomycetes; Pythiales; Pythiaceae
Description: eukaryotic LSU rRNA
Source: RNAcentral
UUGAAGUGGAGUUCGUACAAGUAUCCGUCRSKRWMUUACGGMKGAUCWUUACACUCUNANARWCACCCUUYCACGUGAGCNGUUUGUUUYGCUUUCGAGUGCCUUGUURCGCWCUUMSCWUCAUUUGGGCUUCGCUGCUGGCGCUUGAUUGUGCUGGCGGCUCGAGGCCAUCAAGUGGCGUUUUGAGUGUGCUUUGCGCAAUUGAAACGUCGAAACCUUUUUUUUAAACCCAUUUGAUUGAAAACUGAAGUAUACUGUGGGGACGAAAGUCCUCGCUUUGAAACUAGAUAACAACUUUCAGCAGUGGAUGUCUAGGCUCGCACAUCGAUGAAGAACGCUGCGAACUGCGAUACGUAAUGCGAAUUGCAGGAUUCAGUGAGUCAUCGAACUUUUGAACGCAUAUUGCACUUUCGGGUUACGCCUGGAAGUAUGUCUGUAUCAGUGUCCGUACACUAAACUUGCGUCUCUUCCGUCGUGUAGUCGUCGGUUGUUUUGAUUGCAGAUGUGAGGUUGUCUCGCAGUCGACCACUUCUUUUGGAUGGAUAGGUUGCGAGUCCCUUUAAAAGUCGGACGCGUGUUUUUUCCGUUUUGUGCUUGAUGGGGGUGCGGCUGCGGCCGUGUCUGCUGGCGGGUCCGGUGACCUUUGGCGAUGGCAUGAGAGUGGAUUGCUCGAUUUGCGGUAUGUUAGGCUUCGGCUUUGACAAUGCAGCUUAUUGGGUGUGUUCGCUUGGCUGUUGCUGUAUGGGGUGAGCUGGAUGGUCGGUGGAUGCGUUUGUUGCGUGUCGUUUUUUCAUGGAGUGCGUUGCGGUUGUCGUCGCCAUUUGGGAAUUKMAUGUUUUGAGUCUCGAUUCAAUACAUCUCANUUGGACCUGAUAUCARACAAGAUUACCCGCUGAACUUAUGCUAUCAAUAGGGGGGAAGGAAA